Long non-coding RNA from Oncorhynchus tshawytscha (Chinook salmon), 1239 nucleotides. RefSeq lists it as uncharacterized. Lineage: Eukaryota; Metazoa; Chordata; Actinopteri; Salmoniformes; Salmonidae. The record is from RefSeq and is a predicted model, not a curated record. The transcript is spliced from 2 exons.
UACUGCUAGGUGUCAGGCAAGGUAAGGAAGGGUACUGCUAGGUGUCAGGCAAGGUAAGGAAGGGUACUGCUAGGUGUCAGGCAAGGUAAGGAAGGGUACUGCUAGGUGUCAGGCAAGGUAAGGAAGGGUACUGCUAGGUGUCAGGCAAGGUAAGGAAGGGUACUGCUAGGUGUCAGGCAAGGUAAGGAAGGGUACUGCUAGGUGUCAGGCAAGGUAAGGAAGGGUACUGCUAGGUGUCAGGCAAGGUAAGGAAGGGUACUGCUAGGUGUCAGGCAAGGUAAGGAAGGGUACUGCUAGGUGUCAGGCAAGGUAAGGAAGGGUACUGCUAGGUGUCAGGCAAGGUAAAGAAGGGUACUGCUAGGUGUCAGGCAAGGUAAGGAAGGGUACUGCUAGGUGUCAGGCAAGGUAAGGAAGGGUACUGCUAGGUGUCAGGCAAGGUAAGGAAGGGUACUGCUAGGUGUCAGGCAAGGUAAGGAAGGGUACUGCUAGGUGUCAGGCAAGGUAAGGAAGGGUACUGCUAGGUGUCAGGCAAGGUAAGGAAGGGUACUGCUAGACUGGUGUGAAAGGAGGAACCAAAGAGCUGCUAUACUGUGAUGUCUGUUAGAUAAACAGUAACUAAAGCCACUUGGAGAAAAAGGCCUGUUGUAAAAUCCAUCCCAGGAUUACACCACUGUCCUUAUGUGUCUUCUAAACGGUUAUGAGCUGUCAUAAAGCCUACAUAGUGAUGUCAUAACAUAUCAUAGGAUAAUGUUUUUGUGCCAUAUGCAGUGAUCAGUUAACUGUAGAUUGUAUCCUGGUCCCGUUAGGCAUUUUUAUGUAUUGUGAUAUAAGCUGACAUAACCUGUUAUGAAUGGUAAUAACACAUGUAGUAAAUUAUUAAUAAUCAUUAUUGAAGCUUUAUGAAGGAGUGUUCACCUGCUAUUCACUGUCAGGAAUCAUAACCUCACAUCGAUUUCAAUGUUGUCUAACUAAUGUUUAAAAAAAAAAAACGUUAUUUGCUGUUUCUUCAUUUGUUAAUAAUUUGUAUUUUUUUGCUUUGAGUCAUUUGGCUGAAAAUGUGCUUUUCAUAUUUGUUUAUUUAUAUCAUUGCCUUGGAUUUUCUGUUUUUCAUUGCAACCUUUGUUGGUGAGAAAAGUUUGUGUCUAGCAACACAGCACAUGUUAUUAUUUUCCACCUCAUGUUAUGCUUUCAUGAGGAAUUCAGAACAGGUAUGAUUUUGCUUGAAUUCCCCUGUUGCGU